AGUUUGAUCAUGGCUCAGAACGAACGCUGGCGGCAGGCCUAACACAUGCAAGUCGAGCGCCCCGCAAGGGGAGCGGCGGACGGGUGAGUAACGCGUGGGAACGUGCCUCUUGCUACGGAAUAGCCUCGGGAAACUGGGAGUAAUACCGUAUGUGCCCUACGGGGGAAAGAUUUAUCGGCAAGAGAUCGGCCCGCGUUGGAUUAGGUAGUUGGUGGGGUAAUGGCCUACCAAGCCGACGAUCCAUAGCUGGUUUGAGAGGAUGAUCAGCCACACUGGGACUGAGACACGGCCCAGACUCCUACGGGAGGCAGCAGUGGGGAAUCUUAGACAAUGGGCGCAAGCCUGAUCUAGCCAUGCCGCGUGGAGGAUGAAGGUCCUCUGGAUUGUAAACUUCUUUUAUAUGGGACGAAAAAAGGGUUUUCUAACUCGUCUGACGGUACCAUAUGAAUAAGCACCGGCUAACUCCGUG
This 469-nucleotide ribosomal RNA is filed under the name uncultured bacterium. RNAcentral's name for it is "bacterial SSU rRNA". It matches the Rfam family "Bacterial small subunit ribosomal RNA", at positions 10 to 507 of the family's 1533-position model. The record is from RNAcentral.